GAUAGGUUAGUUCAGUGGUAGAACGUUCGGCUCUGGGACCGAAUGGACGCAGGUUCGAGCCCUGCACCUAUCGACCA
Molecule: transfer RNA, 77 nt
Filed under: Acinetobacter wuhouensis
Lineage: Bacteria; Pseudomonadati; Pseudomonadota; Gammaproteobacteria; Moraxellales; Moraxellaceae
Also listed under: 2 other names
Description: tRNA-OTHER
Rfam family: tRNA
About the family: Transfer RNA (tRNA) molecules are approximately 80 nucleotides in length.
Source: RNAcentral